RNAcentral lists this ribosomal RNA (496 nucleotides) under uncultured bacterium. RNAcentral describes it as "partial 16S ribosomal RNA". It matches the Rfam family "Bacterial small subunit ribosomal RNA", at positions 30 to 523 of the family's 1533-position model. The record is from RNAcentral.
AUUGAACGCUGGCGGAAUGCUUUACACAUGCAAGUCGAACGGUAGAGGGGGCAACCCCUCGAGAGUGGCGAACGGGUGAGUAAUAUAGCGGAACGUGCCCAGUCGUGGGGGAUAACGUAGCGAAAGUUACGCUAAUACCGCAUACGAUCUAAGGAUGAAAGCGGGGGAUCGCAAGACCUCGCGCGAUUGGAGCGGCCGAUAUCAGAUUAGGUAGUUGGUGGGGUAAGGGCUCACCAAGCCAACGAUCUGUAGCUGGUCUGAGAGGACGACCAGCCACACUGGAACUGAGACACGGUCCAGACUCCUACGGGAGGCAGCAGUGGGGAAUUUUGGACAAUGGACGCAAGUCUGAUCCAGCCAUUCCGCGUGCAGGAUGAAGGCCCUCGGGUUGUAAACUGCUUUUGUACGGAACGAAAAGGUCUCUCUUAAUACGGGGGACUCAUGACGGUACCGUAAGAAUAAGCACCGGCUAACUACGUGCCAGCAGCCGCCGUAA